GACGAACGCUGGCGGCGUGCCUAAUACAUGCAAGUUGAGCGCUGAAGGUUGGUACUUGUACCGACUGGAUGAGCAGCGAACGGGUGAGUAACGCGUGGGAAAUCUCCCUUUGAGCGGGGGACAACAUUGGGAAACGAAUGCUAAUACCGCAUAAAAACUUUAAACACAGUUUUUAAGUUUGAAAGAUGCAAUUGCUUCACUCAAAGAUGAUCCCGCUUUUUAUUAGUUAGUUGGUGAGGUAAAGGCUCACCAAGGGGAUGAUACAUAGCCAACCUGAGAGGGGGAGCGGCCACAUUGGGACUGAGACACGGCCCAAACUCCUACGGGAGGCAGCAGGAGGGAAUCUUCGGCCAUGGACGAAAGACUGACCGGGCAACGCCGCGUGAGUGAAGAAGGUUGUCGGGUCGUAAAACUCUGUUGGUAGAGAAGAACGUUGGUGAGAGUGGAAAGCUCAUCAAGUGACGGUAACUACCCAGAAAGGGACGGCUAACUACGUG
Molecule: ribosomal RNA, 497 nt
Filed under: uncultured bacterium
Lineage: Bacteria
Description: partial 16S ribosomal RNA
Rfam family: Bacterial small subunit ribosomal RNA
Source: RNAcentral